AUGGAGGAUGACCAAGUGCAAGAUAAGACGCGCCAGGAGGCGGCUUUGAGGGAUUCAAAUCCCGCCAUCCCAUCCGCAGCUGGUUCGGUGGGGGCCGCCAACGCCCAAUCCCUAGCUGUUGCCGAGGAGGAAGCCCCACUGGUUCCGUUGCCAGACAAAAUCGCAGAGAGGUGGGCACCGGUCUUGGACGCGCUGCCGCUAGCGACAACGGAGAUGAUCGACCGCCCAUCAGGUGGUUCGGUGGACCCGGGCCCCAGUAUACAGGAGUCUAGUAAGGGUUUUGAGGGGGCCGACGUGACCACGCCACAUGGAUGCAUGGAAGAGCCCUUGCAUGGUGGCAAUGCUGAUGUUCUUGGUACAAUUAUCGUACAACGACGCGAGGAGAACUUAUCUGCGAAAGAAAUCGUAGCGCUUGGGAACAUCAAGGCGUUUUGCGCUGGGUUGCUUAAAAAGCUUGCCCCGCUGCUUCUCAAGGAGUUUGAAGGUCUGCAAGGGGUCAAAUCAGGCCAAGACCCGUUCACCCCACGCCGCACAACUCGGUCCAUCUGUGCAAGUAGCUCUAGGAAGACGAAGGCCUCGACAGCUGAAACUGUGCUGCUUAGAACCCUGGGCCUGGACUGUGAUGAUCUGGCGAUCUUGGAAGAUGUGCUAGGUCAGCUCCGUACAGUCUUCGACUCGCCACUCUAG
Molecule: ribosomal RNA, 687 nt
Filed under: Triticum aestivum (bread wheat)
Lineage: Eukaryota; Viridiplantae; Streptophyta; Magnoliopsida; Poales; Poaceae
Description: partial small subunit ribosomal RNA
Source: RNAcentral